This 450-nucleotide ribosomal RNA is filed under the name uncultured Allobrachymonas sp. RNAcentral describes it as "bacterial SSU rRNA". It matches the Rfam family "Bacterial small subunit ribosomal RNA", at positions 927 to 1382 of the family's 1533-position model. Lineage: Bacteria; Pseudomonadati; Pseudomonadota; Betaproteobacteria; Burkholderiales; Comamonadaceae. The record is from RNAcentral.
AAGCGGUGGAUGAUGUGGUUUAAUUCGAUGCAACGCGAAAACCUUACCCACCUUUGACAUGGCAGGAAUCCUAAAGAGAUUUUGGAGUGCUCGAAAGAGAACCUGCACACAGGUGCUGCAUGGCUGUCGUCGGCUCGUGUCGUGAGAUGUUGGGUUAAGUCCCGCAACGAGCGCAACCCUUGCCAUUAGUUGCUACGAAAGGGCACUCUAAUGGGACUGCCGGUGACAAACCGGAGGAAGGUGGGGAUGACGUCAAGUCCUCAUGGCCCUUAUAGGUGGGGCUACACACGUCAUACAAUGGCCGGUACAGAGGGUAGCCAACCCGCGAGGGGGAGCCAAUCCCACAAAGCCGGUCGUAGUCCGGAUCGCAGUCUGCAACUCGACUGCGUGAAGUCGGAAUCGCUAGUAAUCGUGGAUCAGCAUGUCACGGUGAAUACGUUCCCGGGUCUU